RNAcentral lists this ribosomal RNA (253 nucleotides) under uncultured bacterium. Its description in RNAcentral is "partial 16S ribosomal RNA". It matches the Rfam family "Bacterial small subunit ribosomal RNA", at positions 524 to 776 of the family's 1533-position model. The record is from RNAcentral.
UACGGGGGGGUAAGCGUUGUUCGGAAUUACUGGGCGUAAAGGGCUCGUAGGCGGCCAACUAAGUCGGACGUGAAAUCCCUCAGCUUAACUGGGGAACUGCGUCCGAUACUGGAUGGCUUGGAUUUGGGAGAGGGAUGCGGAAUUCCAGGUGUAGCGGUGAAAUGCGUAGAUAAUCUGGAGGAACACCGGUGGCGAAGGCGGCAUCCUGGACCAACAUUGACGCUGAGGAGCGAAAGCUAGGGGAGCAAACGGG